UGCAAGUCGAACGGCAGCACGGACUUCGGUCUGGUGGCGAGUGGCGAACGGGUGAGUAAUGUAUCGGAACGUGCCUAGUAGCGGGGGAUAACUACGCGAAAGCGUGGCUAAUACCGCAUACGCCCUACGGGGGAAAGCAGGGGAUCGCAAGACCUUGCACUAUUGGAGCGGCCGAUGUCGGAUUAGCUAGUUGGUGGGGUAACGGCUCACCAAGGCGACGAUCCGUAUCUGGUUUGAAAGGACGACCAGCCCCACUGGGACUGAGACACGGCCCAUACUCCUACGGGAGGCAGCAGUGGGGAAUUUUGGACAAUGGGGGAAACCCUGAUCCAGCCAUCCCGCGUGUGCGAUGAAGGCCUUCGGGUUGUAAAGCACUUUUGGCAGGAAAGAAACGUCCUGGGUUAAUACCCCGUGAAACUGACGGUACCUGCAAAAUAAGCACCGGCUAACUACGUGCCAGCAGCCGCGGUAAUACUUAGGGUGCAAGCGUUAAUCGGAAUUACUGGGCGUAAAGCGUGCGCAGGCGGUUCGGAAAGAAAGAUGUGAAAUCCCAGAGCUUAACUUUGGAACUGCAUUUUUAACUACCGAGCUAUAGUGUGUCANAGGGAGGUGGAAUUCCGCGUGUAGCANUGAAAUGCGUANAUAUGCGGAGGAACACCGAUGGCGAAGGCAGCCUCCUGGGAUGACACUGACGCUCAUGCACGAAAGCGUGGGGGAGCAAACAGGAUUAGAUACCCUGGUAGUCCACGCCCUAAACGAUGUCAACUAGCUGUUGGGGCCUUCGGGCCUUGGUAGCGCAGCUAACGCGUGAAGUUGACCGCCUGGGGAGUACGGUCGCAAGAUUAAAACUCAAAGGAAUUGACGGGGACCCGCACAAGCGGUGGAUGAUGUGGAUUAAUUCGAUGCAACGCGAAAAACCUUACCUACCCUUGACAUGUCUGGAAUUCCGAAGAGAUUUGGAAGUGCUCGCAAGAGAACCGGAACACAGGUGCUGCAUGGCUGUCGUCAGCUCGUGUCGUGAGAUGUUGGGUUAAGUCCCGCAACGAGCGCAACCCUUGUCAUUAGUUGCUACGAAAGGGCACUCUAAUGAGACUGCCGGUGACAAACCGGAGGAAGGUGGGGAUGACGUCAAGUCCUCAUGGCCCUUAUGGGUAGGGCUUCACACGUCAUACAAUGGUCGGGACAGAGGGUCGCCAACCCGCGAGGGGGAGCCAAUCCCAGAAACCCGAUCGUAGUCCGGAUCGCAGUCUGCAACUCGACUGCGUGAAGUCGGAAUCGCUAGUAAUCGCGGAUCAGCAUGUCGCGGUGAAUACGUUCCCGGGUCUUGUACACACCGCCCGUCACACCAUGGGAGUGGGUUUUACCAGAAGUA
Molecule: ribosomal RNA, 1372 nt
Filed under: Achromobacter sp.
Lineage: Bacteria; Pseudomonadati; Pseudomonadota; Betaproteobacteria; Burkholderiales; Alcaligenaceae
Description: bacterial SSU rRNA
Rfam family: Bacterial small subunit ribosomal RNA
Source: RNAcentral